This 704-nucleotide ribosomal RNA is filed under the name uncultured bacterium. RNAcentral describes it as "bacterial SSU rRNA". It matches the Rfam family "Bacterial small subunit ribosomal RNA", at positions 620 to 1315 of the family's 1533-position model. The record is from RNAcentral.
GGUGCCGUUGAUACUGUCAGACUAGAGUUUAUUUGACGUAGGCGGAAUGUAGCAUGUAGCGGUGAAAUGCUUAGAGAUGCUACAGAACACCGAUGGCGAAGGCAGCUUACGAAGAUAUAACUGACGCUCAUGCACGAAAGCGUGGGGAUCAAACAGGAUUAGAUACCCUGGUAGUCCACGCUGUAAACGAUGAUAACUGGCUUUUGGCGAUACACAGUCAGAGGCUGAGAGAAAUCAAUAAGUUAUCCACCUGGGGAGUACGACGGCAACGUUGAAACUCAAAGGAAUUGACGGGGGCCCGCACAAGCGGAGGAGCAUGUGGUUUAAUUCGAUGAUACGCGAGGAACCUUACCCGGGCUUAAAUUGCAGAUGCUGUAUGUUGAAAGGCAUAUUUCUACGGACAUCUGUGAAGGUGCUGCAUGGUUGUCGUCAGCUCGUGUCGUGAGGUGUCGGGUUAAGUUCCAAUAACGAGCGCAACCCCUCAUAUUCAGUUACCAGCCCGUAAAGGCGGGGGACUCUGGAUAGAACUGCCUACGCAAGUAGAGAGGAAGGUGGGGGAUGACGUCAAUCAGCACGGCCCUUACGUCCUGGGCUACUCACGUGCUACAAUGGUCGUAAACAGAAGAAGCAGCGAGUCCGCUGACGGUGAGCCGAAUCCUCAGAAAAUCGGAUCUCAGUCCUGGAAUCUGAGUCCUGCAACUCGA